Molecule: ribosomal RNA, 513 nt
Filed under: uncultured bacterium
Lineage: Bacteria
Description: bacterial SSU rRNA
Rfam family: Bacterial small subunit ribosomal RNA
Source: RNAcentral
CGCUAAUACCGCAUACGCCCCAAGGGGGAAAGCGGGGGAUCUUCGGACCUCGUGCUACAGGAUGAGCUUGCGUCGGAUUAGCUAGUUGGUGGGGUAAAGGCCUACCAAGGCGACGAUCCGUAGCUGGUCUGAGAGGAUGAUCAGCCACACCGGGACUGAGACACGGCCCGGACUCCUACGGGAGGCAGCAGUGGGGAAUAUUGCGCAAUGGGGGCAACCCUGACGCAGCCAUGCCGCGUGUGUGAAGAAGGCCUUCGGGUUGUAAAGCACUUUCAGUGGGGAGGAAAGGGCGCUGGCUAAUAUCCAGUGCAGUUGACGCUACCCACAGAAGAAGCACCGGCUAAUUCCGUGCCAGCAGCCGCGGUAAUACGGAAGGUGCGAGCGUUAAUCGGAAUUACUGGGCGUAAAGCGCGCGUAGGCGGCUUGGUAAGUCGGGUGUGAAAGCCCCGGGCUCAACCUGGGAACUGCAUUCGAUACUGCUGGGCUAGAGUACGAGAGAGGGGGGUGGAAUUC